This 74-nucleotide transfer RNA is filed under the name Microcaldota archaeon. RNAcentral describes it as "tRNA-Val". It matches the Rfam family "tRNA". Rfam says of the family: Transfer RNA (tRNA) molecules are approximately 80 nucleotides in length. Their secondary structure includes four short double-helical elements and three loops (D, anti-codon, and T loops). The record is from RNAcentral. Lineage: Archaea; Nanobdellati; Microcaldota.
GGGCUCGUGGUCCAGUGGUAAGACGUUACCCUCACACGGUAAAGACAGGAGUUCAAUUCUCCUCGGGCCCACCA